GUGGACGCCAGUCUGCGUGGAGCCGACCUUGAAAUACCACCCUUUAAUGUUUGAUGUUCUAACGUGGACCCGUAAUCCGGGUUGCGGACAGUGUCUGGUGGGUAGUUUGACUGGGGCGGUCUCCUCCUAAAGAGUAACGGAGGAGCACGAAGGUUGGCUAAUCCUGGUCGGACAUCAGGAGGUUAGUGCAAUGGCAUAAGCCAGCUUGACUGCGAGCGUGACGGCGCGAGCAGGUGCGAAAGCAGGUCAUAGUGAUCCGGUGGUUCUGAAUGGAAGGGCCAUCGCUCAACGGAUAAAAGGUACUCCGGGGAUAACAGGCUGAUACCGCCCAAGAGUUCAUAUCGACGGCGGUGUUUGGCACCUCGAUGUCGGCUCAUCACAUCCUGGGGCUGAAGUAGGUCCCAAGGGUAUGGCUGUUCGCCAUUUAAAGUGGUACGCGAGCUGGGUUUAGAACGUCGUGAGACAGUUCGGUCCCUAUCUGCCGUGGGCGCUGGAGAACUGAGGGGGGCUGCUCCUAGUACGAGAGGACCGGAGUGGACGCAUCACUGGUGUUCGGGUUGUCAUGCCAAUGGCACUG
RNAcentral lists this ribosomal RNA (577 nucleotides) under Salmonella enterica subsp. enterica serovar Newport. RNAcentral's name for it is "partial 23S ribosomal RNA". It matches the Rfam family "Bacterial large subunit ribosomal RNA", at positions 2164 to 2740 of the family's 2925-position model. Lineage: Bacteria; Pseudomonadati; Pseudomonadota; Gammaproteobacteria; Enterobacterales; Enterobacteriaceae. The record is from RNAcentral.